RNAcentral lists this long non-coding RNA (316 nucleotides) under Brassica napus (rape). RNAcentral's name for it is "long non-coding RNA (BNAP_LNC008901)". Lineage: Eukaryota; Viridiplantae; Streptophyta; Magnoliopsida; Brassicales; Brassicaceae. The record is from RNAcentral.
AUGACCUAUCGGGGAGUUAUUUGUGAUACAUGCGAGUGAGGCCAAAACACGGGGAAAGUCAUGUGGUGUUUGCAGGGUCAGUAGACAUAACUUUCGGGCCUUGGAAAUAUUAACGCACCGUCCAUCGGACGGGAUAAGGCCCACUGCCCGAAAGAACGGGCGUGGGUAGCCCAUUAGCCGUGGGCGGUCGAGUUGUUACAAGUAGUAUCAGAGCUGGUUAGCCAUCUCGAUUCUGAUCUGAGAGGUGUCUUGAAACCUGUCGUUGUAUUGCAACGAGGAUAUUGCGUUCUUUGAGAGGAGGUGAAUUGUAAUAUCC